GAUGAACGCUGGCGGCGUGCCUAAUACAUGCAAGUCGAGCGAACGGACGAGAAGCUUGCUUCUCUGCUGUUAGCGGCGGACGGGUGAGUAACACGUGGAUAACCUACCUAUAAGACUGGGAUAACUUCGGGAAACCGGAGCUACUACUGCCUAAUAUUUUGUACCGCAUGGUUCAAAAGUUAAAGACGGUUUUGCUGUCUCUUAUAGAUGGAUCCGCGCUGCAUUAGCUAGUUGGUAAGGUAACGGCUUACCAAGGCAACGAUGCAUAGCCGACCUGAGAGGGUGAUCGGCCACACUGGAACUGAGACACGGUCCAGACUCCUACGGGAGGCAGCAGUAGGGAAUCUUGCGCAAUGGGCGAAAGCCUGACGGAGCAACGCCGCGUGAGUGAUGAAGGUCUUCGGAUCGUAAAACUCUGUUAUUAGGGAAGAACAUAUGUGUAAGUAACUGUGCACAUCUUGACGGUACCUAAUCAGAAAGCAACGGCUAACUACGUG
RNAcentral lists this ribosomal RNA (497 nucleotides) under uncultured bacterium. Its description in RNAcentral is "partial 16S ribosomal RNA". It matches the Rfam family "Bacterial small subunit ribosomal RNA", at positions 28 to 507 of the family's 1533-position model. The record is from RNAcentral.